AUUGAACGCUGGCGGCAGGCCUAACACAUGCAAGUCGAACGGUAACAGGAAGCAGCUUGCUGCUUUGCUGACGAGUGGCGGACGGGUGAGUAAUGUCUGGGAAACUGCCUGAUGGAGGGGGAUAACUACUGGAAACGGUAGCUAAUACCGCAUAACGUCGCAAGACCAAAGAGGGGGACCUUAGGGCCUCUUGCCAUCGGAUGUGCCCAGAUGGGAUUAGCUAGUAGGUGGGGUAACGGCUCACCUAGGCGACGAUCCCUAGCUGGUCUGAGAGGGUGACCAGCCACACUGGAACUGAGACACGGUCCAGACUCCUACGGGAGGCAGCAGUGGGGAAUAUUGCACAAUGGGCGCAAGCCUGAUGCAGCCAUGCCGCGUGUAUGAAGAAGGCCUUCGGGUUGUAAAGUACUUUCAGCGGGGAGGAAGGGAGUAAAGUUAAUACCUUUGCUCAUUGACGUUACCCGCAGAAGAAGCACCGGCUAACUCCGU
Molecule: ribosomal RNA, 489 nt
Filed under: uncultured bacterium
Lineage: Bacteria
Description: partial 16S ribosomal RNA
Rfam family: Bacterial small subunit ribosomal RNA
Source: RNAcentral